RNAcentral lists this long non-coding RNA (483 nucleotides) under Rattus norvegicus (Norway rat). RNAcentral's name for it is "long non-coding RNA NONRATT001984". The record is from RNAcentral. Lineage: Eukaryota; Metazoa; Chordata; Mammalia; Rodentia; Muridae.
AGAGAGAGAGAGAGGGGAACAUGAAUACAUCAUUGCCAGACCUGAUGAUCAAAGCUGACUUUUCUUUGCAGUUGUCCAAUCCACAGUCAGACCUGAUGCCUGAAACCUGCCAACCCCUACUUCUCUGCUGUUAGGUUAAGUAACAACUAGUUGUUUCUCCCCCUCCCUGCUUACAGCUUCCCUCACAGGGCCUUAGAGCUCAUCCGCAACCUGCCUUCAAAUAGUCCUUCCUGCAAAACACAGAGCUGUGUGGCCCUUCGUGUUGAGUCAGAUACGCUCACUGACAGUGACUUGGCUAUGAGCUUGUAUUCCUCGUGCUUUGCUCUUUGAAGACUGUAAAAUUGUGUCCUCUUGUGUACACAUGUAAAGUUUGGGGGGGGGGGAACCUUGUGAGUUUUGCUCAAAAUGUGGCCUAAAUAUUCAUUGGCAUGUCUAUCCAGAUGAACAUUUAAAAAUAAAGAUAAUUUCUUUAAAAUAUCACAA